GGGUUGUGAGGUUAAGCGACUAAGCGUACACGGUGGAUGCCCUGGCAGUCAGAGGCGAUGAAGGACGUGCUAAUCUGCGAUAAGCGUCGGUAAGGUGAUAUGAACCGUUAUAACCGGCGAUUUCCGAAUGGGGAAACCCAGUGUGAUUCGUCACACUAUCAUUAACUGAAUCCAUAGGUUAAUGAGGCGAACCGGGGGAACUGAAACAUCUAAGU
Molecule: ribosomal RNA, 215 nt
Filed under: Escherichia coli
Lineage: Bacteria; Pseudomonadati; Pseudomonadota; Gammaproteobacteria; Enterobacterales; Enterobacteriaceae
Description: partial 23S ribosomal RNA
Rfam family: Bacterial large subunit ribosomal RNA
Source: RNAcentral